AUUGAACGCUGGCGGCAGGCCUAACACAUGCAAGUCGAGCGGAUGAAGGGAGCUUGCUCCUGGAUUCAGCGGCGGACGGGGGAGUAAUGCCUAGGAAUCUGCCUGGUAGUGGGGGAUAACGUCCGGAAACGGGCGCUAAUACCGCAUACGUCCUGAGGGAGAAAGUGGGGGAGCUUCGGACCUCACGCUAUCAGAUGAGCCUAGGUCGGAUUAGCUAGUUGGUGGGGUAAAGGCCUACCAAGGCGACGAUCCGUAACUGGUCUGAGAGGAUGAUCAGUCACACUGGAACUGAGACACGGUCCAGACUCCUACGGGAGGCAGCAGUGGGGAAUAUUGGACAGUGGGCGAAAGCCUGAUCCAGCCAUGCCGCGUGUGUGAAGAAGGUCUUCGGAUUGUAAAGCACUUUAAGUUGGGAGGAAGGGCAGUAAGUUAAUACCUUGCUGUUUUGACGUUACCAACAGAAUAAGCACCGGCUAACUUCGUG
Molecule: ribosomal RNA, 484 nt
Filed under: uncultured bacterium
Lineage: Bacteria
Description: partial 16S ribosomal RNA
Rfam family: Bacterial small subunit ribosomal RNA
Source: RNAcentral